UAAGGAAUAUUGCGCAAUGGGCGAAAGCCUGACGCAGCAACGCCGCGUGCGGGAUGAAGGCCCUCGGGUUGUAAACCGCUUUCAGUAGGGAAGAAAAUGACGGUACCUACAGAAGAAGCCCCGGCCAACUACGUGCCAGCAGCCGCGGUAACACGUAGGGGGCGAGCGUUGUCCGGAUUUAUUGGGCGUAAAGAGCUCGUAGGCGGUUUCGUAAGUCGGAUGUGAAAACUCCAGGCUCAACUUGGAGACGCCAUUCGAUACUGCGAUGACUUGAGUCCGGUAGGGGAGUGUGGAAUUCCUGGUGUAGCGGUGAAAUGCGCAGAUAUCAGGAGGAACACCGGCGGCGAAGGCGGCACUCUGGGCCGGUACUGACGCUGAGGAGCGAAAGCGUGGGUAGCAAACAGGAUUAGAUACCCUGGUAGUCCACGCCGUAAACGGUGGGCACUAGGUGUGGGAUUCACUCAACGGAUUCCGUGCCGCAGCUAACGCAUUAAGUG
RNAcentral lists this ribosomal RNA (497 nucleotides) under uncultured bacterium. RNAcentral's name for it is "bacterial SSU rRNA". It matches the Rfam family "Bacterial small subunit ribosomal RNA", at positions 355 to 866 of the family's 1533-position model. The record is from RNAcentral.